CCUACGGGAGGCUGCAGUGGGGAAUAUUGGACAAUGGGGGGAACCCUGAUCCAGCCAUGCCGCGUGUGUGAAGAAGGCCCUCGGGUUGUAAAGCACUUUCAGUGAGGAAGAACGCCUGGUGGUUAAUACCCAUCAGGAAAGACAUCACUCACAGAAGAAGCACCGGCUAACUCCGUGCCAGCAGCCGCGGUAAUACGGAGGGUGCGAGCGUUAAUCGGAAUUACUGGGCGUAAAGCGCGCGUAGGUGGCUUGAUAAGCCGGUUGUGAAAGCCCCGGGCUCAACCUGGGAACGGCAUCCGGAACUGGCAAGCUAGAGUGCAGGAGAGGAAGGUAGAAUUCCCGGGGUAGCGGUGAAAUGCGUAGAGUUCGGGAGGAAUACCAGUGGCGAAGGCGGCCUUCUGGACUGACACUGACACUGAGGUGCGAAAGCGGGGGUAGCCAACAGGAUUAGAGACCCUGGUAGUC
This 465-nucleotide ribosomal RNA is filed under the name Vreelandella stevensii. Its description in RNAcentral is "partial 16S ribosomal RNA". It matches the Rfam family "Bacterial small subunit ribosomal RNA", at positions 338 to 795 of the family's 1533-position model. The record is from RNAcentral. Lineage: Bacteria; Pseudomonadati; Pseudomonadota; Gammaproteobacteria; Oceanospirillales; Halomonadaceae.